This 200-nucleotide ribosomal RNA is filed under the name uncultured bacterium. Its description in RNAcentral is "partial 16S ribosomal RNA". It matches the Rfam family "Bacterial small subunit ribosomal RNA", at positions 524 to 723 of the family's 1533-position model. The record is from RNAcentral.
UACGGAGGGUGCAAGCGUUACUCGGAAUCACUGGGCGUAAAGGAUGCGUAGGCGGUUUAUUAAGUCUUGUGUGAAAUCCUACAGCUUAACUGUAGAACUGCAUGGGAAACUGAUAAACUAGAGUAUAAGAGAGGCAGGUGGAAUUUCUAGUGUAGGGGUAAAAUCCGUAGAGAUUAGAAGGAAUACCGAUGGCGAAGGCG